GCUCCGUAAGUCGGGUGUGAAAACCCCAGGCUCAACCUGGGGACGCCACUCGAUACUGCGGUAGCUAGAGUCUGGUAGGGGAUCUCGGAAUUCCUGGUGUAGCGGUGAAAUGCGCAGAUAUCAGGAGGAACACCAGUGGCGAAGGCGGAGAUCUGGGCCAGUACUGACACUGAGGASCGAAAGCGUGGGGAGCGAACAGGAUUAGAUACCCUGGUAGUCCACGCCGUAAACGUUGGGCACUAGGUGUGGGGACCUAUCGACGGUCUCCGUGCCGCAGCUAACGCAUUAAGUGCCCCGCCUGGGGAGUACGGCCGCAAGGCUAAAACUCAAAGG
RNAcentral lists this ribosomal RNA (333 nucleotides) under uncultured eukaryote. RNAcentral describes it as "bacterial SSU rRNA". It matches the Rfam family "Bacterial small subunit ribosomal RNA", at positions 578 to 907 of the family's 1533-position model. The record is from RNAcentral.